Molecule: unclassified non-coding RNA, 295 nt
Filed under: uncultured fungus
Lineage: Eukaryota; Fungi
Description: sequence contains ITS2
Source: RNAcentral
AACGCAAAUUGCACUCUUCGGGUUUCCGGAGAGUAUGCCUGUCUGAGGGUCAUUAAAAUAAAAAAUCGAUCCGUUACCUUUGUUAACGUUUCGGAAUUGAGCCAUCUUUUGUCCCUGGAUUUAAGAGGCUUAAAAUUGAUUCAUUUUGGUAUGAUUUGAGCGUACUUAAGAUUUCCUUAUCGCGCUUAAUGAGUAUCGGACGUUUUAUUAGGCGCGACCAUCGAUCAUGGUUUCGUGCCCAUAAUCAUCUCAUGAUUAUGACCUCAGAUCAGGUAGGAUUACCCGCUGAACUUAA